GCGGGAGUAGCUCAGUGGUAGAGCAUCGCCUUGCCAAGGCGAGGGUCGCGGGUUCAAAUCCCGUCUCCCGCUCCA
This 75-nucleotide transfer RNA is filed under the name Pseudacidobacterium ailaaui. RNAcentral's name for it is "tRNA-Gly". It matches the Rfam family "tRNA". From Rfam's summary of the family: Transfer RNA (tRNA) molecules are approximately 80 nucleotides in length. RNAcentral also lists the same sequence under 10 other names. Lineage: Bacteria; Pseudomonadati; Acidobacteriota; Terriglobia; Terriglobales; Acidobacteriaceae. The record is from RNAcentral.